GGCAUGACAGGCAUGCACCUGGGACUGUCACACUCUAGCCUGUGAUGGGAACUCAUGUGCAUCUGUCCAGGGCUGAGCAUGGUUAUGCAGAGCUGUGCUCCAGGCUCCCUGCAGGGCUGUGGAGGCUUCUGCUGCCCAGCAGCCCUGGUGCCAUGGCCAGUGCUCCUCCCAGCCGAGGGCAGGCAGCUGCCCAUUGCUGUAGGCUGACCUUAUUUUCUUCUUUUUGUACAUGUAACUUUAUCUGAAGUAUGUUGGAUUGUUUUUCAAUUAUGAAACUAACAGGUCCUCUAGAACCUUCAAACAAUUAGUACAAUUCCUAAAGAGUAAGUGAGCAUGCGCAGAAAUUGGGCUAAUGUUUUGGGAAGAAUGAUGUUAGAUGAUAUUUUCAUGGCUUGAGUAUAUCAUCCAACAUGAAGUUACAUUUUAUUACUUACAAAAUAAUAAAAUAAUGAAGCAAUACCAUGGACUGAGCCAAAAUAUAUCCUCAGGAUCUUAGGCAUACUGUAAUAAAUCUGCAUCACUUUGGGUCAUUCCCCUCAUAUUUCCUUUGAGAUAUUUUCUAUGUGAGGCUUAAGAAGAACAGAAUAUUCUAUAAAGAAAACCUUGUGAUCUGUGCAGUAUAAAAUUGAAUGGGUUCAUUCAGAAAUCAGAAAUUCUAUUGAAAGGUAUUUGCCUGAGCCAAAUAAAACCUAUUUCUAGGUGUCCUGGUGAAGACAAGCUUUUAUCUUUAUAUGUCUCAUUGUCUGUGGGUUUGUUGUUGUUGUUGUUAGAAUGAAAUUCAUAAGUUGGCAAACCAUUUUAUCAGAUGUGUAACUAGAUGCCAUUGAAAUUAUCCACUUUUAAAUGGUAGACAUUUUGUAUAUGAACACUGCCUGUCUGCACCUUUUUUAAAAAUAGGUCUGGGCUCAGGAGCCCAAAUACCAAUGGUUAUCUGGAACAUAUUCUUCAGUUUGGCCUAUCCGCCAAUAUGCCCUGAGGUCAUCUGUUCUAUCAUCUUCAUUACCCCUGCUCCCUCACUAGCUUUCAUAGAACCCACAUGCUGUCUAUGAGUCAGGGUCACCAAUCCCACAACAUUUCGUUUGAGUAUCCAAAGUCCCACGUUUCACUUCGCCAUGCCUGACAUAGGCAGUAAUAUUUAUCAGGAAAUGUGAAAUUUUCAAAGAUCCAAUUCUAUGUGCUCCUUUCUCAAAGGGCAUUAGGCAGGGAUAUAGCAUACAUAAAUAUUAAGUAAAGACCAUAGUUUUAAAAAGUCAUAGAUACUUUUUAUUUUGGAGGAGGUAUGAUUUAAUAGGGAAUUCCAAUAGCUACGUAAUAGUGAAAUGGUAAGUCUUCCAUCCAUUUUAUUUUAUUGUUUCUGAUGAUUUUUAUGAGUAAGGAUAAUAUACUUCCUUGUUCCAAUGCAGAUGUUGCCCACUUCUGUGAAUGGAUGCACGGUGUCACCUGCUACUUGGAUGUCUGCAUGUUGUGCUUGACACUAAUAUCGUACUUGGUAGGUGGCAGAAAGUCAAUACUGAAGUUAAGCUCUUGUGUUCUAGCAGCUGUGCUGAAGAUCCUUGGUGUGCCACCUUCUGCAAUCCAUGUUGCUCUCUUCAUGUUCCUUAUUGACUUCCUGGUGAUGAGCAUCAUGGUCUCCUGGUCUUUGAGAAUGGCCAAGCAUUGCUCUGUGAAUGUGGAAGACAGUCAUGUGGAAGGCUCCAGGGAGGAGGGAUCAUUGAUCAUGUACUCUAAUCCAUGUGCCUCUUUAAUGACCUGUUUUUCUUCUUGGGUUUUAAGGGAGACAGUGCCCUCAAACACUUCUGUGCAGCUGGGAAUGCAGGCUUCUGCUUCACCUUGAAGGAAGCAUUAAUGAUUCCUUUCCAGAAGACAUGAGAAGAGAGAAGUGAGCCUCUGGUAUCAUGCAGAUUCCUUGCAUUGCCCAUGGGCUAGAAGAGAGAAGAGUUCCUUCAUGAGAUUUGAUCCCCUUUUUCCUGAAAAGUUCCACACACAGGUGAGUCCCCAGCAUGUUUAGACAUCAUUUCAGACAUCUUUGUUGACAGAAAUGAAUCACACCCCCUGAUGAUGUGGAAGAGCUAUAGAUGGGUUUGCUAUGAAUUUUCUAUUUCAUUUCUCAGGGCCUGAGUCAAGCCAGCCAUUGUGCUGUCAGCGCAUGAGCUGCUGGUCAAAUGUGAGGAAGUGGUCUUGCUUUAUGAAAGCACCACCCUGAUUCAGUGAGCCAGAGGCAGCCUGCAGUCCCUCAGUUUUCCUGUAAAGGCAGAUUGCUGUGGAUGGCCUCUGGCCUCGUCAUGCAGCCCUGCUCAGAGUAGGGGAUUGAGGGUCCAGGCAGAUCCCUAGUUCCUUUUGACCUUUAUUGCCAUUGGGCUGCCCCAGGGUCCUUGGACUCUACCUGGUCUUCUGGCCUAGGUCAGGGGAUGUGAGGUUUGGAAUCCCUCUCUGUGGCAGGAUCCCAGGCCCCCCAGCCAUUUGAGGGCAGGCACAGCCUUCCCUAAUUGUGUUAGAGGGGGAGACUUCUCCCACCCAUCCUCAUCCAUGCUCAUCCCACAUUUUGUAGCUUGACACCUGAGGACCUUUAUUCAUUGACUUAGUGGUUAGUGAUGAUGGUUGCUAAGACUAAGUAUCUCUUUCAAAGUCACAUCACUUGCAUGGUUGGGCUAGAGCAUGGAUCUUCGUAAUUGAUUUCAUGGGACUCUCUCAUGGAAACUGUGACUGCCUCCUAAACACACACUCUACAUUUGGAGUGUCAAAAUUCUUGGCACUGCCUCCUUGGCAAGUGUAUCUUGUCUUCUACUUGGGAAUUUCACAAAUAUUUUCGUUUGGUUUGUGGAGGUCAUGCAGAAGGGAUUUCAUUUGAAAUAGCCCAAACAAGAAAUACCAGUUGUCUUUUUCACACAUGGAUGUGUGUAAUGAACAUCCCUUUCUGUGUGUUUGCAUGAGUUGCUCCUUUGAAUUUGUUGAAGAAUGGUUAGCUGGGGAGCAAGGUAACGAGAGAUGGAUAUCAAUGGUUGUCAAGUAUUCUGAAGUGAAGAAUGUAUUGAGGAUGUGAAGGCUUUUCUAGCCAGUUCCUAUGGCUCAGUCAGGGAUCAGUCAGAGGAUUCUGUCUGUUAGACUCUUUGGAACAGAUGUCAAAGUGGCCUGGUCUUACCCUGUCCAGGACUGAAUGCUGAGCUUGAGUGGGAGCUUCUUGUCAUUUCAAGCAUUUCCAUGAGUCUGUCCUCUGUUCUCUUGUAUCCAAGUGGUUUCUAACAGGAAAGCAGAACAAAAAUUGAAAGUAUGGUGAUUGAUUAUUUAUACCAAUGUUAUUUCAAUCAACUUUGUAUAAUACGAAAUUAACUUUCUGCUAGUAAGAUUUCAUAUGUGAGGAAAUAAUGAAAAUAUUGGGGUUAGGGGAUGAGAAUAUGCAAAUCAAACAUUUUUGAGCACCAAGACCCGUUUUUUGUUUUUGUUUUUUUAACUUAAAUAAUGAAGUGCCAGAAGACCACACCUGCCAUUCAACCUCAACAACCUCCAGGUCCAGCCUCCAGGUGGCCCGUUUCACCAGGGUGUGUGGGACCACACUGUCCUGGGAUGAGAGAGCAGUACCCACGAAUGUUGGUACAGAGUAGAUAUUGCUAGAGACAGUGGGGAGGUAGUGGCACAUGAGGAAGGGAAGAGCUCUCAGGAUGGGAAGAGGGGGCCGCUUCGAGACUCAUUGGGCAUGGCACGAGGCUGCUGGGUGUGGUGUUGGCCUGGGCCCACUGAGUGGGGCAGAUCCAUGCUCUGUGUCCCUCUACCCUCCUCUGUAGCCUGUGCUGGCAGCAGAUCAGGGAAUUGGGGUCAGAAGUGCUCCCAGUAACACAGGCACCAGCCCCCAGUGUGUGCCUAGCCCUUUCCCUACCUGGCCUGACUUAGUGCUUGUCUUGCCUCAGGGCUGAGACCCUACAGUCUCUGAUGAGUGUGUCUGGGGUCCAGAUCCAACCUGCAUGGCCAACAUGCUCAGACCUUCAGCUGGGUCCUAGGCUGCUGCAACCAAACCCUGUCAAUUGGGUGGCCCACAACAGAGGAAGUGUCUUCCGUUGAGCUCCAGAGGCUCAACACAGUAGGUGUUGGGCUGUCCCAGUGCCAUAACCCCUCCCAGGUUUCAAGGGGACUGUCCCCCCAACUCUGUCAGCCCUUGCCCACUCUCCUACUGCUGUCCAUGAUCUGUGGUUCCCAUAUGGGCAUCCCGACCUGGCUCCAACCUCACAUAGGCUGUAUCCCCAAGUCUCCCUGGUCUCUGGGUCCAGACUCCCCUCUUCCUACAAGAAUAUAAGAUAUUAGAUUUGGGCCCAGUUGAUGCUGUGUUCCAUCAUGUGAGCUCUUAGCUUCAUCACUGUACAAAGACUCUUUUUCCACGUAAGUUCACAGGACUUUUGGGUGGCUAAGAAUUUUCAGGGGACACUUUUCUAAUGAGUACACUUUCCUUUCUUCAGAUCUCUCCCCACUGAGCCUUCUUCUCAUCCUUGUCCUAGUUCCUUUAUGGCAAGUUCCCUCCUUAUGGCUGAGAGGACCUAGUGACCCCUGGAUUCACACAUUGUCUUUAAUCACCAACACACUGCAGAAUUCUCCAUGGGACUGCGGUGUUUUGCAUUGGAACCCACCCCCUGACCUCUAAAAGUGGUCUAGACAAUUGGGUUGACUCCCUCCCUCCUGAACCUCUUUGAUGCCCUUUAAAGUAAGUUAUUCUUUUGGAUUCCUUCCACAAGUAGGCAAGUCCUUGGAUCCCCUGCUAGAAAGUCUUCCAGCCUGAAGGUCAGAUGUGUCCAGAUGUUGAGUUGAAGGAUAUCAUCCUAGAAGCCCUCAUCCUGGCUGCAGCGUUUCCUCCCCUCAAUGCAAAGCAAGAAAGUGCAGUUGGCUCUGUACCCAUUCUUCUGCAUCCAUGGUCCUCACCAGCUGGAAAUCCAAACUAUCAGGAAAGGAGUUGUGUCUCUCUGGACAGAUACUUCUCUCCUCAUUGUUUCCUGGAUCUUACAGUGUUACAGAGAAUGACACUGCCCUUUCAUUGUAUUAGGUGUCAGAAGUCAUCUAGAGAUAAUGGAAGUGCUACAGGAAGAAGAUAUACAGCGUUUAGAUGCAAAUACUCUGGCAUUUUUGUAAGAGACGAACCUGUGUGGACUGGUGUUUUGGGCAGACUUUGAACAAAUCUCCCUUGAAUUUCUUGUAACGUUUCUGGUUUCUGGACUUGGGAGUGUUCAGUGUGAGUCAGCCUCAUGGGGAUGUGAUAGGGGGGCAGUCGGAGCUGUUGUGCAGAACCUCAGUGAUGGCUUGUAAGGCCACAUGCAACACUGCAAGCAGGAGCCGAGAAGGGAGCCCUCUCCCCAUGUGUUCAGCUUAACUCUUGUCUUAUCCAAAAUCAUGACUUGUGAAAUGUUGCAGAAAUGGACUCAUGCCAAGAAGUUGGGAUGUUCUGGGGAGCAUGGGCUGUCAUUCUAUUUUGUCUCUGCAUUAUGAUGUGUUAGCGGGUGGGAACUUGAAGAUGUGCUUAGGCCAUGGAUUCUCCUUCCCUGGGAAAGGGCUUCUCAAAGCAGCCCUUGUCCCUGUUUCACCUGCUUCCCCAGGAGGACACAACAAGAACGUUCUUACAAGUUGGCCCCCAGUCUUGGUCUUCCAGCCUCCCAAGUUUGAGAAAUAAAAUCUGUGCUAUGAAUUACCCAGUGUCUUGUAUUCUGCCAUCACAACACAAACUAUGCUAAGAUGAGUCAAUCAGCAGUCUCCCAAGUGUUUACAUUCUGGUAAUUGACACCAAACAUCCGUUUUGUAAUUAAACCAUUUUGGAGUACACAGUUGAGUGGCAUUAACCAUGUUCAUGUUGGUGUAUAGGUGUCGCCACCCUGCAUCUCCAGAACUCACGUGAACAUACUCUUGCCAUCAGUGCUGAAUUCUAGUGCCCUUGAGGCCCAGGAAAAGAACAUUGUACUUUA
This 5933-nucleotide long non-coding RNA is filed under the name Marmota monax (woodchuck). The record is from RNAcentral. Lineage: Eukaryota; Metazoa; Chordata; Mammalia; Rodentia; Sciuridae.